GUUAUAGGGUCAAGCGAAUAAGUGCAUGUGGUGGAUGCCUUGGCGAUCACAGGCGAUGAAGGACGUAGUAGCUUGCGAAAAGCUGCGGGGAGCUGGCAAACGAGCUUUGAUCCGCAGAUGUCCGAAUGGGGAAACCCGGCCCGUAUGGGUCAUCCCUUGCUGAAUACAUAGGCAAGGGAGGCGAACGCAGUGAACUGAAACAUCUAAGUAGCUGCAGGAAAAGAAAUCAACCGAGAUUCCCAAAGUAGUGGCGAGCGAAAUGGGAACAGCCUUGUACUCUUUAGCAGUAUUGUUAGCGGAACGGAAUGGAAAGUCCGGCCAUAGUGGGUGAUAGCCCCGUACGCGAAAACAGUAUUGUGGAACUAGGUGUACGACAAGUAGGGCGGGACACGUGAAAUCCUGUCUGAAGAUGGGGGGACCAUCCUCCAAGGCUAAAUACUCGUGAUCGACCGAUAGUGAACCAGUACCGUGAGGGAAAGGCGAAAAGAACCCCGGGAGGGGAGUGAAAUAGAUCCUGAAACCGCAUGCAUACAAACAGUCGGAGCCUGGAAACGGGUGACGGCGUACCUUUUGUAUAAUGGGUCAGCGACUUACAUUCAGUGGCAAGCUUAACCGAUUAGGGAAGGCGUAGCGAAAGCGAGUCCGAAUAGGGCGUUCAGUCGCUGGGUGUAGACCCGAAACCAAGUGAUCUAUCCAUGGCCAGGUUGAAGGUGCGGUAACACGUACUGGAGGACCGAACCCACUAACGUUGAAAAGUUAGGGGAUGAGCUGUGGAUAGGGGUGAAAGGCUAAACAAACUUGGAAAUAGCUGGUUCUCUCCGAAAACUAUUUAGGUAGUGCCUCGUGUCUCACCUUCGGGGGUAGAGCACUGUCAUGGUUGGGGGGUCUAUUGCUGAUUACCCCGCCAUAGCAAACUCCGAAUACCGAAGAGUGCAAUCACGGGAGACAGACAUCGGGUGCUAACGUCCGGUGUCAAGAGGGAAACAACCCAGACCGCCAGCUAAGGUCCCUAAGAUUGGCUAAGUGGGAAACGAAGUGGGAAGGCUAAAACAGUCAGGAGGUUGGCUUAGAAGCAGCCACCCUUUAAAGAAAGCGUAAUAGCUCACUGAUCGAGUCGUCCUGCGCGGAAGAUGUAACGGGGCUAAGCCAGUCACCGAAGCUGCGGAUGCACGUAAGUGCAUGGUAGGAGAGCGUUCUGUAAGCCUGUGAAGGUGUCUUGUAAAGGAUGCUGGAGGUAUCAGAAGUGCGAAUGCUGACAUGAGUAGCGAUAAAGGGGGUGAAAGGCCCCCUCGCCGUAAGCCCAAGGUUUCCUACGCAACGUUCAUCGGCGUAGGGUGAGUCGGCCCCUAAGGCGAGGCAGAGAUGCGUAGCUGAUGGGAAGCAGGUUAAUAUUCCUGCACCGUCGUAUGAUGCGAUGGGGGGACGGAUCGCGGAAGGUUGUCCGGGUGUUGGAAGUCCCGGUCCCUACAUUGGAGAUGGCACUUAGGCAAAUCCGGGUGCGUGAUUCAAGGGUGUGGGGCGAGCGACGUUAGGUCGCGAAGCAAUUGGAAGUGGUUCCAAGAAAAGCCUCUAAGCUUCAGUCAUACGAGACCGUACCGCAAACCGACACAGGUGGGCGAGAUGAGUAUUCUAAGGCGCUUGAGAGAACUCGGGAGAAGGAACUCGGCAAAUUGGUACCGUAACUUCGGGAUAAGGUACACCCUUGUAGUUUGACUGGCUCGCGCCAGAAGGAUGAAGGGGUUGCAAUAAAAUGGUGGCUGCGACUGUUUAAUAAAAACACAGCACUCUGCAAACACGAAAGUGGACGUAUAGGGUGUGACGCCUGCCCGGUGCCGGAAGAUUAAAUGAUGGGGUGCAAGCUCUUGAUUGAAGUCCCGGUAAACGGCGGCCGUAACUAUAACGGUCCUAAGGUAGCGAAAUUCCUUGUCGGGUAAGUUCCGACCUGCACGAAUGGCGUAACGAUGGCCACACUGUCUCCUCCCGAGACUCAGCGAAGUUGAAGUGUUUGUGAUGAUGCAAUCUCCCCGCGGCUAGACGGAAAGACCCCAUGAACCUUUACUGUAGCUUUGCAUUGGACUUUGAACCGAUCUGUGUAGGAUAGGUGGGAGGCUUUGAAACCGGGACGCUAGUUUCGGUGGAGCCGACCUUGAAAUACCACCCUGGUUUGUUUGAGGUUCUAACCUUGGCCCGUGAAUCCGGGUCGGGGACAGUGCAUGGUAGGCAGUUUGACUGGGGCGGUCUCCUCCCAAAGUGUAACGGAGGAGUUCGAAGGUACGCUUGGUACGGUCGGACAUCGUACCUAAAGUGCAAUGGCAAAAGCGUGCUUAACUGCGAGACCGACAAGUCGAGCAGGUGCGAAAGCAGGACAUAGUGAUCCGGUGGUUCUGUAUGGAAGGGCCAUCGCUCAACGGAUAAAAGGUACUCUGGGGAUAACAGGCUGAUACCGCCCAAGAGUUCAUAUCGACGGCGGUGUUUGGCACCUCGAUGUCGGCUCAUCUCAUCCUGGGGCUGUAGCCGGUCCCAAGGGUAUGGCUGUUCGCCAUUUAAAGAGGUACGUGAGCUGGGUUUAAAACGUCGUGAGACAGUUUGGUCCCUAUCUGCCGUGGGCGUUGGAAUCUUGACGGGGGCUGCUCCUAGUACGAGAGGACCGGAGUGGACGUACCGCUGGUGUACCUGUUGUCUCGCCAGAGGCAUCGCAGGGUAGCUAUGUACGGAAGAGAUAACCGCUGAAAGCAUCUAAGCGGGAAACUCGCCUGAAGAUGAGGAUUCCCUGGAGACUUGAUCUCCCUGAAGGGUCGUUCGAGACCAGGACGUUGAUAGGCUGGGUGUGGAAGCGCAGUAAUGCGUUCAGCUAACCAGUACUAAUUGCCCGUGCGGCUUGAUCCUAUAACC
This 2892-nucleotide ribosomal RNA is filed under the name Ralstonia solanacearum. Its description in RNAcentral is "bacterial LSU rRNA". It matches the Rfam family "Bacterial large subunit ribosomal RNA". Lineage: Bacteria; Pseudomonadati; Pseudomonadota; Betaproteobacteria; Burkholderiales; Burkholderiaceae. The record is from RNAcentral.